UACGUAGGGUGCGAGCGUUGUCCGGAAUUACUGGGCGUAAAGAGCUCGUAGGUGGUUUGUCGCGUUGUUCGUGAAAACUCACAGCUCAACUGUGGGCGUGCGGGCGAUACGGGCAGACUGGAGUACUGCAGGGGAGACUGGAAUUCCUGGUGCAGCGGUGGAAUGCGCAGAUAUCAGGAGGAACACCGGUGGCGAAGGCGGGUCUCUGGGCCGAUACUGACGCUGAGGAGCGAAAGCGUGGGGAGCGAACAGG
Molecule: ribosomal RNA, 253 nt
Filed under: uncultured bacterium
Lineage: Bacteria
Description: partial 16S ribosomal RNA
Rfam family: Bacterial small subunit ribosomal RNA
Source: RNAcentral